Molecule: ribosomal RNA, 253 nt
Filed under: uncultured bacterium
Lineage: Bacteria
Description: partial 16S ribosomal RNA
Rfam family: Bacterial small subunit ribosomal RNA
Source: RNAcentral
UACGGAGGGCGCUAGCGUUGUUCGGAAUUACUGGGCGUAAAGCGCGCGUAGGCGGCUUUGUAAGUUAGAGGUGAAAGCCCGGGGCUCAACCCCGGAAAUGCCUUUAAGACUGCAUCGCUUGAAUCCAGGAGAGGUGAGUGGAAUUCCGAGUGUAGAGGUGAAAUUCGUAGAUAUUCGGAAGAACACCAGUGGCGAAGGCGGCUCACUGGCCUGGUAUUGACGCUGAGGUGCGAAAGCGUGGGGAGCAAACAGG